Molecule: ribosomal RNA, 252 nt
Filed under: uncultured bacterium
Lineage: Bacteria
Description: partial 16S ribosomal RNA
Rfam family: Bacterial small subunit ribosomal RNA
Source: RNAcentral
UACGGAGGGUGCAAGCGUUAUCCGGAAUCAUUGGGUUUAAAGGGUCCGCAGGCGGUCUAUAUACGAGUGGUGAAAUCUCUCGGCUCAACCGAGAAACUGCCAUUGAUACUGUAGGACUUGAAUUCGGUCGAAGUGGGCGGAAUAUGACAUGUAGCGGUGAAAUGCUUAGAUAUGUCAUAGAACACCGAUAGCGAAGGCAGCUCACUAGGCCUGGAUUGACGCUCAGGGACGAAAGCGUGGGGAGCAAACAGG